UAGUCUACGCCGUAAACGAUGGAUACUAGUUGUUUGGCUUUCGGGCUGAGUGACUAAGCGAAAGUGAUAAGUAUCCCACCUGGGGAGUACGUUCGCAAGAAUGAAACUCAAAGGAAUUGACGGGGGCCCGCACAAGCGGUGGAGCAUGUGGUUUAAUUCGAUGAUACGCGAGGAACCUUACCAGGGCUUAAAUGUAGUCUGACAGCUUUAGAGAUAGAGUUUUCUUCGGACAGAUUACAAGGUGCUGCAUGGUUGUCGUCAGCUCGUGCCGUGAGGUGUCAGGUUAAGUCCUAUAACGAGCGCAACCCCUGUUGUUAGUUGCCAUCAAGUAAAGUUGGGGACUCUAGCGAGACUGCCGGUGCAAACCGCGAGGAAGGUGGGGAUGACGUCAAAUCAUCACGGCCCUUACGUCCUGGGCUACACACGUGCUGCAAUGGUAUAGACAAUGAGCAGCCAGUGGGCAACCACGAGCGAAUCUAUAAACUAUAUCACAGUUCGGAUCGG
RNAcentral lists this ribosomal RNA (504 nucleotides) under uncultured bacterium. RNAcentral's name for it is "bacterial SSU rRNA". It matches the Rfam family "Bacterial small subunit ribosomal RNA", at positions 791 to 1301 of the family's 1533-position model. The record is from RNAcentral.